Molecule: ribosomal RNA, 378 nt
Filed under: uncultured bacterium
Lineage: Bacteria
Description: bacterial SSU rRNA
Rfam family: Bacterial small subunit ribosomal RNA
Source: RNAcentral
GACGAACGCUGGCGGCGUGCUUAACACAUGCAAGUCGAACGGAAAGGCCCUUCGGGGUACUCGAGUGGCGAACGGGUGAGUAACACGUGGGUGAUCUGCCCUGCACUUUGGGAUAAGCCUGGGAAACUGGGUCUAAUACCGAAUAGGACCACGCGCUUCAUGGUGUGUGGUGGAAAGCUUUUGCGGUGUGGGAUGGGCCCGCGGCCUAUCAGCUUGUUGGUGGGGUAAUGGCCUACCAAGGCGACGACGGGUAGCCGGCCUGAGAGGGUGACCGGCCACACUGGGACUGAGAUACGGCCCAGACUCCUACGGGAGGCAGCAGUGGGGAAUAUUGCACAAUGGGCGCAAGCCUGAUGCAGCGACGCCGCGUGAGGGAUG